This is a long non-coding RNA of Psammomys obesus (fat sand rat), 866 nucleotides long. RefSeq lists it as uncharacterized. NCBI's taxonomy places the organism in Eukaryota, Metazoa, Chordata, Mammalia, Rodentia, Muridae. The transcript is spliced from 3 exons. The record is from RefSeq and is a predicted model, not a curated record.
ACACCUUAACAACACACAUCACUCUUGCGGAGGACCCAAAGUCAGUUCUGAGCAGCCACGGUGAAGAGCAUCACUUCAGCUCCUCUGAUGUCCAAGGGCACCUGUACUCAUAUGCACGUGCCCAAGAGCAGACACGUGCACACAAUCAAAAUUUUAAAAAUCUUCUAUCUACGUCCUCUAGGUAUGACAAGGAAACUACACACACGAAAUCUCAACAAUGUGACUACUUAAACAAGACCUGAACAAUGAGAAGACGAGUUGACCUUCCAAAGUGGACGUGGAGAUAACCAGGGGCUAUUGCGGUGAAGCAGUUAUAAACUGCUGAGGGAGCGAGAAUUAGCCUUCCCCACGGAUGAGCCCCGUGUGGGAUACGGGACCGCUUCAGCUUGCCCACGGCAGUCAACUGUGACUGUCUUCUCACUGAGAGACACAUCUGCUCCUGGCAGCACCUCCCAAUCUGCUUCAAAGAAGGUGACAGUCAUCUGCUUCAAAGAAGGUGAUGGUCAUCGAAGAACCUUCACUUGGAGUUUGCUUCAAACGUGACAAAGUUAGCCACUGCUUUUCCCUCGACUGAUGACAGCAUGCUGUCCAAACCCUUGACAAGCAGGACACAGGGAAAUUGACUGUCCAACUUUGCAGAGAUAAGGUAGACCAGUCCUUCAAUAUUCCUGCUUCACAGAUAAGGAUAUAAAUACAGUCAGAUAUUCUGGACCUGUGGGCUAAAGAUUGACUGCCCCAAUGACACAGAGACAGCCAGAAACCUCUGUCUUUUCUAUAGCAUUGGAAGAGGCUUGCUCUGUACAUCAUGUUUUCUCAAGUCAUAGUUAUCCUUACAGGUCUCUGAUAGGGCUAGAGACUAGAUAGUU